Molecule: ribosomal RNA, 460 nt
Filed under: uncultured bacterium
Lineage: Bacteria
Description: partial 16S ribosomal RNA
Rfam family: Bacterial small subunit ribosomal RNA
Source: RNAcentral
CCUACGGGUGGCAGCAGUGAGGAAUAUUGGUCAAUGGGCGCUAGCCUGAACCAGCCAAGUAGCGUGAAGGAUGACUGCCCUAUGGGUUGUAAACUUCUUUUAUAUGGGAAUAAAGUGAAGUAUGUAUACUUCUUUGUAUGUACCUUAUGAAUAAGGAUCGGCUAACUCCGUGCCAGCAGCCGCGGUAAUACGGAGGAUCCGAGCGUUAUCCGGAUUUAUUGGGUUUAAAGGGAGCGUAGGUGGGUUGUUAAGUCAGUUGUGAAAGUUUGCGGCUCAACCGUAAAAUUGCAGUUGAUACUGGCAGCCUUGAGUACAGUAGAGGUAGGCGGAAUUCGUGGUGUAGCGGUGAAAUGCUUAGAUAUCACGAAGAACUCCGAUUGCGAAGGCAGCCUGCUAAACUGUAACUGACGCUGAUGCUCGAAAGUGUGGGUAUCAAACAGGAUUAGAUACCCUAGUAGUC